AGUUUUUAAAAUAAACUCUGAAGCUACAUGAAGUUUGGAGGUGUGUAGUGAUGAACUCUGAAGCUACAUGAAGUUUGGAGGUGUGUAGUGAGUGAUGAACUCUGAAGCUACAUGAAGUUUGGAGGUGUGUAGUGAUGAACUCUGAAGCUACAUGAAGUUUGGAGGUGUGUAGUGAUGAACUCUGAAGCUACAUGAAGUUUGGAGGUGUGUAGUGAUGAUAAACUCUGAAGCUACAUGAAGUUUGGAGGUGUGUAGUGAUGAACUCUGAAGCUACAUGAAGUGUGGAGGUGUGUAAUGAUGAACUCUGAAGCUACAUGACGUUUGGAGGUGUGUAGUGAUGAACUCUGAAGCUACAUGAAGUUUGGAGGUGUGUAGUGAUGAACUUUGAAGCUACAUGAAGUUUGGAGGUGUGUAGUGAUGUAGUAACUCUGAAGCUACAUGAAGUUUGGAGGUGUGUAGUGAUGAACUCUGAAGCUACAUGAAGUUUGGAGGUGUGUAGUGAGUGAUGAACUCUGAAUCUACAUGAAGUUUGGAGGUGUGUAGUGAUGAACUCUGAAGCUACAUGAAGUUUGGAGGUGUGUAGUGAGUGAUGAACUCUGAAGCUACAUGAAGUUUGGAGGUGUGUAGUGAUGAACUCUGAAGCUACAUGAAGUUUGGAGGUGUGUAGUGAUGAACUCUGAAGCUACAUGAAGUUUGGAGGUGUGUAGUGAUGAACUCUGAAGCUACAUGAAGUUUGGAGGUGUGUAGUGAUGAACUCUGAAGCUACAUGAAGUUUGGAGGUGUGUAGUGAGUGAUGAACUCUGAAGCUACAUGAAGUUUGGAGGUGUGUAAUGAUGAACUCUGAAGCUACAUGAAGUUUGGAGGUGUGUAGUGAUGAACUCUGAAGCUACAUGAAGUUUGGAGGUGUGUAGUGAUGAACUCUGAAGCUACAUGAAGUUUGGAGGUGUGUAGUGAUGAACUCUGAAGCUACAUGAAGUUUGGAGGUGUGUAGUGAUGAACUCUGAAGCUACAUGAAGUUUGGAGGUGUGUAGUGAUGAACUCUGAAGCUACAUGAAGUUUGGAGGUGUGUAGUGAUGAACUCUGAAGCUACAUGAAGUUUGGAGGUGUGUAGUGAGUGAUGAACUCUGAAGCUACAUG
Long non-coding RNA from Astyanax mexicanus (Mexican tetra), 1137 nucleotides. RefSeq lists it as uncharacterized. Lineage: Eukaryota; Metazoa; Chordata; Actinopteri; Characiformes; Acestrorhamphidae. The transcript has 3 exons. The record is from RefSeq and is a predicted model, not a curated record.